RNAcentral lists this ribosomal RNA (486 nucleotides) under uncultured bacterium. Its description in RNAcentral is "partial 16S ribosomal RNA". It matches the Rfam family "Bacterial small subunit ribosomal RNA", at positions 28 to 507 of the family's 1533-position model. The record is from RNAcentral.
GAUGAACGCUAGCGGCAGGCUUAACACAUGCAAGUCGAGGGGCAGCGCGGGAUAGCAAUAUCCUGGCGGCGACCGGCGGACGGGUGCGUAACGCGUGAGCGACAUGCCCGUUGCCCGGGGACAACCGGUGGAAACGCCGACUAAUCCCCGAUGGGAUAUUGUGCCGCAUGGCACGAUAUUGAAAGUUACUGCUGCGACGGAUUGGCUCGCGUCCGAUUAGCUGGUUGGCGGGGUAACGGCCCACCAAGGCCGCGAUCGGUAGGGGUUCUGAGAGGAAGGCCCACAACAAAGGGACUGAGACACGGCCCAUACUACUACGGGAGGCAGCAGUGAGGAAUAUUGGUCAAUGGGCGGAAGACUGAACCAGCCAUGCCGCGUGAGGGAAGGAGGCCCUAUGGGCUGUGAACCGCUUUUGCCUGGGGGCAAUAAGGGCGUAGCGCACGUCCGAUGAGAGUACCAGGCGAAUAAGCAUCGGCUAACUCCGUG